RNAcentral lists this ribosomal RNA (254 nucleotides) under uncultured bacterium. RNAcentral describes it as "partial 16S ribosomal RNA". It matches the Rfam family "Bacterial small subunit ribosomal RNA", at positions 524 to 776 of the family's 1533-position model. The record is from RNAcentral.
AACGUAGGACGCAAGCGUUAUCCGGAUUUACUGGGCGUAAAGCGCGUGCAGGCGGUCGGUCAAGUCGUGCGUGAAAGCUCCCUGGCUCAACCGGGAGAGGUCGUACGAAACUAGCGGACUCGAGGGCAGCAGAGGAGCGUGGAAUUCCGGGUGUAGUGGUGAAAUGCGUAGAUAUCCGGAGGAACACCAGUGGCGAAGGCGGCGCUCUGGGCUGUACCUGACGCUAAGACGCGAAAGCAUGGGUAGCGAACGGG